CCUCCUGAAGCUGCUCACUCAGUCGAAGAGGACUACCUUUCCCGAUAGAGGA
This 52-nucleotide small RNA is filed under the name Nannospalax galili (Upper Galilee mountains blind mole rat). Its description in RNAcentral is "7SK RNA (ENSNGAG00000002330.1)". The record is from RNAcentral. Lineage: Eukaryota; Metazoa; Chordata; Mammalia; Rodentia; Spalacidae.